GGGGCUAUAGCUCAACAGGCAGAGCACACCUCUUAUAAGGGUGCGGUUAUGGGUUCGAACCCCAUUAGUCCCACCA
Molecule: transfer RNA, 76 nt
Filed under: Mycoplasma wenyonii
Lineage: Bacteria; Bacillati; Mycoplasmatota; Mollicutes; Mycoplasmatales; Mycoplasmataceae
Also listed under: 1 other name
Description: tRNA-Ile
Rfam family: tRNA
About the family: Transfer RNA (tRNA) molecules are approximately 80 nucleotides in length.
Source: RNAcentral